AUGAACGCUGGCGGCGUGCUUAACACAUGCAAGUCGAACGAAGCAUUUGCGACAGAUUUUUUCGGAAUGAAGUUGCUUAUGACUGAGUGGCGGACGGGUGAGUAACGCGUGGGUAACCUGCCUUGUACUGGGGGAUAGCAGCUGGAAACGGCUGGUAAUACCGCAUAAGCGCACAAUGUUGCAUGACAUGGUGUGAAAAACUCCGGUGGUAUAAGAUGGACCCGCGUCUGAUUAGCUAGUUGGUGAGAUAACAGCCCACCAAGGCGACGAUCAGCAGCCGACCUGAGAGGGUGACCGGCCACAUUGGGACUGAGACACGGCCCAGACUCCUACGGGAGGCAGCAGUGGGGAAUAUUGCACAAUGGAGGAAACUCUGAUGCAGCGACGCCGCGUGAGUGAAGAAGUAAUUCGUGAUGUAAAGCUCUAUCAGCAGGGAAGAUAGUGACGGUACCUGACUAAGAAGCUCCGGCUAAAUACGUG
This 480-nucleotide ribosomal RNA is filed under the name uncultured bacterium. Its description in RNAcentral is "partial 16S ribosomal RNA". It matches the Rfam family "Bacterial small subunit ribosomal RNA", at positions 29 to 507 of the family's 1533-position model. The record is from RNAcentral.